AGCCCUUCGGGGCGAAGUAGCUGAUUUCACACUGUCAAGAAAAGCUUCUAUCGAGUUUAAAGGCGCCCGUACCGUAAACCGACACAGGUGGGUGAGGAGAGCAUCCUAAGGCCAGCGAGAGAACUAUUGUUAAGGAACUCGGCAAAAUGACCCCGUAACUUAGGGAGAAGGGGUGCCUGUCUAUGACAGGCCGCAGAGAAUAGGCCCAAGCGACUGUUUACCAAAAACACAGGUUUCUGCUAAGUCGCAAGACGAUGUAUAGGAGCUGACGCCUGCCCGGUGCUGGAAGGUUAAGGGGAUCUGUUAGAGCAAUCGAAGCAGUGAACUUAAGCCCCAGUAAACGGCGGCCGUAACAAUAACGGUCCUAAGGUAGCGAAAUUCCUUGUCGGGCAAGUUCCGACCCGCACGAAAGGCGUAACGAUUUGGGCACUGUCUCAACAAUAGACUCGGUGAAAUUGUAAUCCCGGUGAAGAUGCCGGGUACCUGCGACAGGACGGAAAGACCCCAUGGAGCUUUACUGUAGCUUGACGUUGGGUCUUGGUACUACAUGUACAGGAUAGGUGGGAGACUAUGAAGCAUGGACGCCAGUCUGUGUGGAGUCAUCCUUGGGAUACCACCCUUGUAGUACUGGGAUCCUAACCAUAGGCCUUGAAUCAGGUCUUGGAACACCGUCAGGUGGGCAGUUUGACUGGGGCGGUCGCCUCCUAAAAAGUAACGGAGGCGCUCAAAGGUUUCCUCAGCACGGUCGGAAAUCGUGCGAAGAGUGUAAAGGCAAAAGGAAGCUUGAUUGCAAGGCAUACAGGUCGAGCAAGGACGAAAGUCGGACUUAGUGAUCCGGUGGUACCGCAUGGAAGGGCCAUCGCUCAACGGAUAAAAGCUACCCUGGGGAUAACAGGCUUAUCUCCCCCAAGAGUCCACAUCGACGGGGAGGUUUGGCACCUCGAUGUCGGCUCAUCACAUCCUGGGGCUGUAGUAGGUCCCAAGGGUUGGGCUGUUCGCCCAUUAAAGUGGUACGCGAGCUGGGUUCAGAACGUCGUGAGACAGUUCGGUCCCUAUCCGUCGUAGGCGUAGGAAAUUUGAGAAGACCUGUCCUUAGUACGAGAGGACCGGGAUGGACGUACCUCUGGUGUACCAGUUGUUCUGCCAAGGGCAUGGCUGGGUAGCUAUGUACGGAAUGGAUAAGCGCUGAAAGCAUCUAAGCGCGAAGCCAACUUCAAGAUAAGAUUUCCCACCGUAAGGGUAAGACCCCAGUAAGACUACCUGGUUGAUAGGUCGAAGGUGUAAGUGCAGUAAUGUAUUUAGCUUAUCGAUACUAAUAGGUCGAGGACUUGACCA
Molecule: ribosomal RNA, 1335 nt
Filed under: metagenome
Description: bacterial LSU rRNA
Rfam family: Bacterial large subunit ribosomal RNA
Source: RNAcentral